UAUUUCAAUUCUUAUUAUUAGAAUACAAAAUGUGUCAUGAAACUGAUGUCUGAUGAUGAACUUUGAGAUAACAGAUUUUACUAAUGCCUCCCCGUGGGAAAGUUUUGUCUCCACCAUUGAAGACAUAUUGCAACAGUGGGGCCUCACUGCAUCCACUUAUUCAGCAGAUUCUGGUUAUUGGCCACAGCAUAGGAAGUCAGAGAAGUUCUCUUAUGUUAGACAUAAUUUCAUUGUUAGCCUCCACGUGUCUGGUGAGAAGAAACGACCGAUAUCCAAACAAUGAGAUCAGGAUUGGCCUGAUGCUAUGGUACAUAUGAUGGAUUCAUCAAAUGAUUUCCCUCCAAGAGCUCAUCAUCAUAUCUCUAGAUGGUAUGGUGUUGAUCAGUUUAUAUUGAUAUCUCCUGAUG
RNAcentral lists this long non-coding RNA (407 nucleotides) under Amphimedon queenslandica. RNAcentral describes it as "uncharacterized LOC109587516, transcript variant X1". The record is from RNAcentral. Lineage: Eukaryota; Metazoa; Porifera; Demospongiae; Haplosclerida; Niphatidae.